Lasiosphaeris hirsuta is the source of this 71-nucleotide non-coding RNA. The record is from the annotation of a GenBank genome assembly. Lineage: Eukaryota; Fungi; Ascomycota; Sordariomycetes; Sordariales; Lasiosphaeriaceae.
GGUCCGCUGGCUCAAUGGCAGAGCAUCUGGCUACGAACAGGAGGUUCCAGGUUUGACCCCUAGGUGGAUAG